This 497-nucleotide ribosomal RNA is filed under the name uncultured bacterium. Its description in RNAcentral is "partial 16S ribosomal RNA". It matches the Rfam family "Bacterial small subunit ribosomal RNA", at positions 28 to 507 of the family's 1533-position model. The record is from RNAcentral.
GAUGAACGCUGGCGGCGUGCCUAAUACAUGCAAGUCGAGCGAACAGACGAGGAGCUUGCUCCUCUGACGUUAGCGGCGGACGGGUGAGUAACACGUGGAUAACCUACCUAUAAGACUGGGAUAACUUCGGGAAACCGGAGCUAAUACCGGAUAAUAUAUUGAACCACAUGGUUCAAUAGUGAAAGACGGUUUUGCUGUCACUUAUAGAUGGAUCCGCGCCGCAUUAGCUAGUUGGUAAGGUAACGGCUUACCAAGGCAACGAUGCGUAGCCGACCUGAGAGGGUGAUCGGCCACACUCGAACUGAGACACGGUCCAGACUCCUACGGGAGGCAGCAGUAGGGAAUCUUCCGCAAUGGGCGAAAGCUUGACGGAGCAACGCCGCGUGAGUGAUGAAGGUCUUCGGAUCGUAAAACUCUGUUAUUAGGGAAGAACAAAUGUGUAAGUAACUAUGCACGUCUUGACGGUACCUAAUCAGAAAGCCACGGCUAACUACGUG